RNAcentral lists this small RNA (212 nucleotides) under Oscillospiraceae bacterium. RNAcentral describes it as "6S RNA". It matches the Rfam family "6S / SsrS RNA". From Rfam's summary of the family: E. coli 6S RNA was the first non coding RNA to be sequenced, but its function was unknown until recently. It consists of 184 nucleotides that fold into an extended hairpin structure with a large single-stranded internal bulge. RNAcentral also lists the same sequence under 1 other name. Lineage: Bacteria; Bacillati; Bacillota; Clostridia; Eubacteriales; Oscillospiraceae. The record is from RNAcentral.
UUAAGCCUGCCGUGUUCGUGUACCCUGCGUUCAGGGUUAACGCCCAUUUAAACCCACAUUAGAUUUACGGGAUGCCGGUCUCUCCCUGCCGAUUGCAGGCCUCCCGAUGCCUUUCUGCGUCGGACGUUGGAAGCGAUGACUCAUGGAGGAGGCAACCCACCUGCAGAACUGUGCAGGUUCUAAUUGGGCGGCACGGCACAGGCGGGUUUUUU